This 226-nucleotide non-coding RNA is filed under the name Pontibacillus chungwhensis. Its description in RNAcentral is "T-box sequence". It matches the Rfam family "T-box leader". From Rfam's summary of the family: Uncharged tRNA acts as the effector for transcription antitermination of genes in the T-box leader family. Lineage: Bacteria; Bacillati; Bacillota; Bacilli; Caryophanales; Bacillaceae. The record is from RNAcentral.
CGAAACGUGAUGAUAGGAAAUAGUAACAACGUGGCCUUCUACAGAGAACUGGUGGGUGGUGCAAACCAGUGAAGGAGCGUUGCCAAUCCAUCCUUGAGCAGAUAUGCCGAAAGGACAAGUAAGCAUAUCCGGUGCUGACGCAUCGUUACUGAAAAGUAAGCCGGAAGGUGAUUUAUGCCUUCAAUAAGGGUGGCAUCGCGGGAAUAUACAAACUCUCGUCCCUAAU